Molecule: unclassified non-coding RNA, 210 nt
Filed under: Hevea brasiliensis (rubber tree)
Lineage: Eukaryota; Viridiplantae; Streptophyta; Magnoliopsida; Malpighiales; Euphorbiaceae
Source: RNAcentral
AAAGGUCUCGCGAAUGAACGCGGCGGCGGAGACCGGAUCGCCAUUGGCGCCUGGGCCUUCCGGGUUCACGUAGAUCAGGCCCAUUUCGGUGGCGCUGAGCGGCGCCGGAAACUUGUCGAGAGUCCGGUGCGUCAGCCAGGCGGUUUCAGCGCCCCAGUUCACAUCGAGAUCCGGCUCCCAGACAUCCUCACGGCCAGCAGCGAAACCGAA